UACGGGGGGGGGCAAGCGUUGUUCGGAAUUACUGGGCGUAAAGGGCUCGUAGGCGGCCAACUAAGUCAGACGUGAAAUCCCUCGGCUUAACCGGGGAACUGCGUCUGAUACUGGAUGGCUUGAGGUUGGGAGAGGGAUGCGGAAUUCCAGGUGUAGCGGUGAAAUGCGUAGAUAUCUGGAGGAACACCGGUGGCGAAGGCGGCAUCC
RNAcentral lists this ribosomal RNA (207 nucleotides) under uncultured bacterium. Its description in RNAcentral is "partial 16S ribosomal RNA". It matches the Rfam family "Bacterial small subunit ribosomal RNA", at positions 524 to 729 of the family's 1533-position model. The record is from RNAcentral.